This is a long non-coding RNA of Dermacentor silvarum, 345 nucleotides long. RefSeq lists it as uncharacterized. NCBI's taxonomy places the organism in Eukaryota, Metazoa, Arthropoda, Arachnida, Ixodida, Ixodidae. The transcript is spliced from 2 exons. The record is from RefSeq and is a predicted model, not a curated record.
UCCCGCGUGACGGCUGUGGGGUUGAAAAUCUCAAAAAUCAGCAUAGAGUCCAGAGUGUUCGGCUACCAGGACGUGCAAGACUUCGAUCUCGAUUCUUUCGUUCUCUUUGUCGGGAACAUGAAACUCAGGGCCAAGAUGUUCGGAACGGCGAUAUGGCCGUCCACUCUGCUCUUCUUUUUCGGCGGCACGGCGCUGGUCGUGUACCUGCUGGUCAUCUGCGACGUACUCACCAACCCCGUCAUGGGUUCCUUCCUCUGAGCUCGCAAGGUUGCCAAGCUCUUUUAUUUACCACAACGGACGGACGUGCGAAUAAACUCACCGGCGCCAUCGAGGUCGCGGCUCUGC